This 23-nucleotide non-coding RNA is filed under the name Cricetulus griseus (Chinese hamster). Lineage: Eukaryota; Metazoa; Chordata; Mammalia; Rodentia; Cricetidae. The record is from RNAcentral.
UGGCCUCAAACUCAGAGCUCUGC